This 58-nucleotide non-coding RNA is filed under the name unclassified sequences. The record is from Rfam.
AAUGGUCUCCGGUAGUGGUUUACGAAAUUGAUUCGUGAACUUCGAUCGUAGAUUCAUU